UUUUUAAUUUACCGGGUGAGAGUUAAAUAGCCCAGUCCCACGUACUGCCAUAAACAGGGUCAACAGAUUGCUACUCCAGUAAAUGCCACUAUAAGCAAAACAUACAUUUAUAGGGAGAUAUGAUAGAAAUUUAGGAAGGUAUUAUAUAGAGGGACCUUAGGAGAACAAUCCAUGCAAGCCUAUAAAACAAUUACACUUCUUUGUAUCAAAAGUCAGGUAUUUGCAUUUGAAGGUACAGAAAAACAUUGUGCACUUCUCCCCCUUGCACCAAAAAUAAUUUCUGUAGAGCAGGAAACCGAAAAGCUUCUGUAUUGAACUGGAAUAAUGAAACACACAGAAAAUGAAUGAAUGAAUGAGUGAAUGAGGAGUGCAUGCUUUACUGAGAUGAUGAGGAACCCUUUUAGUAACACGCCUUAGAAAUAGCUGAUUUUCACUGCACUAUGAAGGAAUUAUUUUAUCAGCAUGCUGUAUAUAUACCUUUCAGCUUCCUGAAAUACAGUCAUAAUGAAUGACUAUGUAUACGUUUAGAAGUCACAGACAGCUUAUUCCUUCGGUAUUCCCCUUGUUCUCAAUCACAAAACAUUAGCUGGACCCAGUUUGCUGAACAAUCCACUGUAUCAGAUUCAUCACAUUUCCCUCAAUUUCUUUUUCCCCCACAAAAUCUUGUCGUUUCAGAAAUUGAGUUCUAUGAAGAGCUGAAAGGAAGAUGACUUCUUCCCGUGAUAGCUUUGAUAGCUUCCUGCAUGAAAUCCGAGUGAGAAGCCAUCAGAGGGCAGAAUGUGAGGGUGGGAGUGACUUCAGGCACCGCUGGUGUGACGCUGGCAGCAGUUCUCUGUCAGAGUCCUUGGGGCUGAGAAAUGAUAAGAGGCUGCACGGUCCUGUGGGGUUAAGCAGCUUGACAAGACCUUCACAUAACUCAGCCCUCUGAAAAUCUGCAAAAUGAAAUACUUGGAGUUUCUUCUAUCCUACAGAAGAUACCUACUUUGGUCUCUGACAGGACAGAUGCAAAAUUAACUCCAAAGAACAGGAAAGCUCUCUUCUGCUAGAGCUGGUACUGUAAUUAUAAAGAGUUCCUUGCUCACAGUUUUUUAUCAUAAAUGAAUGCAAGUUAUACCAUCUUAUUUUUCAUUGAAGUUAGCAAGCUAGGUAUUGACAGCUGUUGGUGGGCCUCUUUUGUUUGUUUUUGAACAGUUUUAAUUGUGAACAACUGUUUUCAACUGAGCAGCAAAUUUAUGCAAAGAUAAUAUUUUUUGGAAAUUCAGAUGUUCAAGUAGCAGGAAACUUGACAUGAUUAGCCCAGAACUGUUGUUACAACUCAAUGCUUUUGCAUCUUAUUCUCUCCUGAGUUAGUUAAGUACAUAGCAUCAUCUCAUGAUGCCAUAUUCCAUAACACGUAUGCUUUCAUGUACUGUAAAAAUGCAAUAAAGCACAAAACUACGGGGCAGAAUGGGAGCAAGAAUCACACUGGUAGGACUGCUGAAUUAAGGGGAAAAAAAAGCAUAUUGAGAUUUUUAUUUUCUCUUAGAAAAGAAGAAUAACUCCAUUUUCUAACUCACUCUUUGCAUGAGUUUUAUGAUUUCCCAAUCAACAUCACCACGUGAAUUUUUAGUCAAGGACUGAAAAUACUGUUCUUGAAGACCAUUAACUGCAUCUACUCUGGAGCAAUGACUUCUAAAUUAAAGGUCGUGACAGUUAUGAAUGAGGUUAUGAGCUUUUUUACCCUACUACUUGGACUUAUGUCUUCAACAGAAGUGGAAAUUUAAACCAGAAAUAGGAUUGCAACAUGACAAAUGAAUCAAACUCUAAACUACAGAAAGCAGGGCUAAGAGGAGGUCAUCCGUAAGGCAAUGCAAUGAAUCUGUGAUGUUGAUGUUUUGACAAGCGAAUAGAUCACUCAGGUCCAAUGCCUGAUGCAAGCAAUGCAGCAUUUUCUGCAAAGCUUUAUCUUAAGAAAACAACAACAAGCCUUCCUUCACAGAAUUUAGAUUGGAUGAUUGAACAAGUAUUUUUAACCAAUAAAAUUGACCUUGCUUUUCCCCUACAAGUUGAAUUAUUCUCUCCUUUUUCUGAUCUUUCUUGAUUCUUUCCUUGCCUUUCUUCUCCACAAACUGGGCAUCAGUGUUUCUUUCCCUACCCUUCAUUAUGUAUAAAGGUUGGCUGUGAGUUUUAUUGGCUUCCAAGUAAUGCAGAAUGAAGUAGGACUUCGUCAUCGUAUCAAGAAAUCAAUGAUACACUGAAGAACUUUUUAAUUAGACCACUGCAGUCCUGAACUAAACCUGAGACACAAAGAUUAAAUAAUUGCUUACAGCAUUUUCAAUGUGUGGUUCACCAUAGUGAAAAGAAGAUUAUUGAAUCAACUGCUGAGUUAUGAAAACCGAUGAAGUCUUGCUGAGUGCAGAAAUUUACUUUAGCACAACAAAACAAUGAAGUUUUAUGACCCAGUUCCUCUGAACUACUUUAAUUAAGGACUACUAUGAUAAGAAAGAACUUGAAAAGCUAUCUGGUAGGAAGACAGACUUGCAUUUAGAUGUUGACAUAUGAAGUCAGCACAUUCAAGGAUAUCACUGUACUUCAGUGUUAUAUUGUCAAAGCCAUUAACUCCUCCUAACACAUUUAUAUCUAGAGAUCUACACGCACAAUCCUCAUCAGUCUUCAUGACUUAAGAGCAUGUGAAAGCCAAUAUUGCUUAGACAUCUGUUUUGUCUGAGUGACUUCUUGAUAUUUUCCACCUCUGCUGAAAUUUAGACAUAAAAAUUAACAUAAACAAUUGUUUUAAGUUUAAUAUCCACAUUUUGUGUAGCUGGUACAAGUCCCUUGAUUUCAGUGAAGACACUACUAUACAACUAGAAAAUCUGGCCUUCAGAGCUCAUUAGGUUUAAAAGCGUAAC
Molecule: long non-coding RNA, 2888 nt
Organism: Gallus gallus (chicken)
Lineage: Eukaryota; Metazoa; Chordata; Aves; Galliformes; Phasianidae
Exons: 3
Source: RefSeq, a predicted model, not a curated record